This 496-nucleotide ribosomal RNA is filed under the name uncultured bacterium. Its description in RNAcentral is "bacterial SSU rRNA". It matches the Rfam family "Bacterial small subunit ribosomal RNA", at positions 15 to 507 of the family's 1533-position model. The record is from RNAcentral.
GAUCAUGGCUCAGAUUGAACGCUAGCGGGAUGCCUUACACAUGCAAGUCGAACGGCAGCGCGGACUUCGGUCUGGCGGCGAGUGGCGAACGGGUGAGUAAUGUAUCGGAACGUGCCCAGUAGCGGGGGAUAACUACUCGAAAGAGUAGCUAAUACCGCAUACGCCCUACGGGGAAAGGGGGGGAUCGCAAGACCUCUCACUAUUGGAGCGGCCGAUAUCGGAUUAGCUAGUUGGUGAGGUAAAGGCUCACCAAGGCGACGAUCCGUAGCUGGUUUGAGAGGACGACCAGCCACACUGGGACUGAGACACGGCCCAGACUCCUACGGGAGGCAGCAGUGGGGAAUUUUGGACAAUGGGGGAAACCCUGAUCCAGCCAUUCCGCGUGUGCGAUGAAGGCCUUCGGGUUGUAAAGCACUUUUGGCAGGAAAGAAAUCGCAUCAAUUAAUACUUGGUGUGGAUGACGGUACCUGCAGAAUAAGCACCGGCUAACUACGUG